UACGUAGGGGGCAAGCGUUGUCCGGAAUCAUUGGGCGUAAAGCGCGUGUAGGCGGUUCAGUAAGUCUGCUGUGAAAGUCCAGGGCUCAACCCUGGGAUGCCGGUGGAUACUGCUGGACUAGAGUGCGGAAGAGGCGAGUGGAAUUCCCGGUGUAGCGGUGAAAUGCGCAGAUAUCGGGAGGAACACCAGUGGCGAAGGCGGCUCUCUGGACAGGUACUGACGCUGAGACGCGAAAGCGUGGGUAGCAAACAGG
RNAcentral lists this ribosomal RNA (253 nucleotides) under uncultured bacterium. Its description in RNAcentral is "partial 16S ribosomal RNA". It matches the Rfam family "Bacterial small subunit ribosomal RNA", at positions 524 to 776 of the family's 1533-position model. The record is from RNAcentral.